This 470-nucleotide ribosomal RNA is filed under the name uncultured bacterium. RNAcentral describes it as "bacterial SSU rRNA". It matches the Rfam family "Bacterial small subunit ribosomal RNA", at positions 39 to 495 of the family's 1533-position model. The record is from RNAcentral.
GCGGCGUGCCUAAUACAUGCAAGUUGAGCGCUGAAGGUUGGUACUUGUACCGACUGGAUGAGCAGCGAACGGGUGAGUAACGCGUGGGGAAUCUGCCUUUGAGCGGGGGACAACAUUUGGAAACGAAUGCUAAUACCGCAUAAAAACUUUAAACACAAGUUUUAAGUUUGAAAGAUGCAAUUGCAUCACUCAAAGAUGAUCCCGCGUUGUAUUAGCUAGUUGGUGAGGUAAAGGCUCACCAAGGCGAUGAUACAUAGCCGACCUGAGAGGGUGAUCGGCCACAUUGGGACUGAGACACGGCCCAAACUCCUACGGGAGGCAGCAGUAGGGAAUCUUCGGCAAUGGACGAAAGUCUGACCGAGCAACGCCGCGUGAGUGAAGAAGGUUUUCGGAUCGUAAAACUCUGUUGGUAGAGAAGAACGUUGGUGAGAGUGAAAGCUCAUCAAGGACGUAUAGCCAACGAAUCGACC